GGCGCACGGGUGCGUAACACGUAUGCAACCUACCUUACAUGGGGGGAUAGCCUUUCGAAAGGGAGAUUAAUACCGCAUAAGACAGUAGCUGGGCAUCCAGCAGCUGUUAAAGAUUUAUCGAUGUAAGAUGGGCAUGCGUCCAAUUAGUUAGUGGGCGAGGUAACGGGGCACCAAGACUUUGAUUGGUAGGGGAACUGAGAGGUCAAUCCCCCACACUGGCACUGAGAUACGGGCCAGACUCCUACGGGAGGCAGCAGUAGGGAAUAUUGGGCAAUGGACGCAAGUCUGACCCAGCCAUGCCGCGUGCAGGAUGAAGGCGUUAUGCGUUGUAAACUGCUUUUAUACAGGAAGAAACGACUCUUGCGAGAGGCAUUGACGGUACUGUAUGAAUAAGCACCGGCUAACUCCGUGCCAGCAGCCGCGGUAAUACGGAGGGUGCAAGCGUUGUCCGGAUUUAUUGGGUUUAAAGGGUGCGCAGGUGGUUUAUUAAGUCAGUGGUGAAAGACGGUCGCUCAACGAUUGCAGUGCCAUUGAAACUGGUAGACUUGAGUAAAGUAGAGGUGGGCGGAAUUGAUAGUGUAGCGGUGAAAUGCAUAGAUAUUAUCAAGAACUCCAAUUGCGUAGGCAGCUCACUUGGCUUUUACUGACACUCAUGCACGAAAGUGUGGGUAUCAAACAGGAUUAGAUACCCUGGUAGUCCACACUGUAAACGAUGAUAACUAGGUGUCGGCCGAAUCUGGUCGGUGCCACAGCGAAAGCGUUAAG
RNAcentral lists this ribosomal RNA (765 nucleotides) under uncultured Arcicella sp. Its description in RNAcentral is "bacterial SSU rRNA". It matches the Rfam family "Bacterial small subunit ribosomal RNA", at positions 97 to 864 of the family's 1533-position model. Lineage: Bacteria; Pseudomonadati; Bacteroidota; Cytophagia; Cytophagales; Flectobacillaceae. The record is from RNAcentral.